Molecule: ribosomal RNA, 468 nt
Filed under: uncultured bacterium
Lineage: Bacteria
Description: partial 16S ribosomal RNA
Rfam family: Bacterial small subunit ribosomal RNA
Source: RNAcentral
GACGAACGCUGGCGGCGUGCUUAACACAUGCAAGUCGAACGGAAAGGCCCUGCUUUUUUGGGGUGCUCGAGGGGCGAACGGGUGAGUAACACGUGAGUAACCUGCCCUUGACUUUGGGAUAACUUCAGGAAACUGGGGCUAAUACCGGAUAGGAGCUCCUGCUGCAUGGUGGGGGUUGGAAAGUUUAGGCGGUUGGGGAUGGACUCGCGGCUUAUCAGCUUGUUGGUGGGGUAGUGGUUUACCAAGGCUUUGAAGGGUAGCCGGCCUGAGAGGGUGACCGGCGACCUUGGGACUGAGAGACGGACCAGACUGCUAUGGGAGGCAGCAGUGGGGAAUAUUGUACAAUGGGAGGAAGCCUGAUGCAGCAACGUUGCGUGUGUGAUGACGGCUUUUGGGUUGUAAAACGCUUUCGCCUGUGACGACGCGUGAGUGACGGUAAUGGGUAAAGAAGCACCGGCUAACUACGUG